UUAAGCGACUAAGCGUACACGGUGGAUGCCCUGGCAGUCAGAGGCGAUGAAGGACGUGCUAAUCUGCGAUAAGCGUCGGUAAGGUGAUAUGAACCGUUAUAACCGGCGAUUUCCGAAUGGGGAAACCCAGUGUGAUUCGUCACACUAUCAUUAACUGAAUCCAUAGGUUAAUGAGGCGAACCGGGGGAACUGAAACAUCUAAGUACCCCGAGGAAAAGAAAUCAACCGAGAUUCCCCCAGUAGCGGCGAGCGAACGGGGAGCAGCCCAGAGCCUGAAUCAGUGUGUGUGUUAGUGGAAGCGUCUGGAAAGGCGCGCGAUACAGGGUGACAGCCCCGUACACAAAAAUGCACAUACUGUGAGCUCGAUGAGUAGGGCGGGACACGUGGUAUCCUGUCUGAAUAUGGGGGGACCAUCCUCCAAGGCUAAAUACUCCUGACUGACCGAUAGUGAACCAGUACCGUGAGGGAAAGGCGAAAAGAACCCCGGCGAGGGGAGUGAAAAAGAACCUGAAACCGUGUACGUACAAGCAGUGGGAGCACAGAGCAAUCUGUGUGACUGCGUACCUUUUGUAUAAUGGGUCAGCGACUUAUAUUCUGUAGCAAGGUUAACCGAAUAGGGGAGCCGAAGGGAAACCGAGUCUUAACUGGGCGUUAAGUUGCAGGGUAUAGACCCGAAACCCGGUGAUCUAGCCAUGGGCAGGUUGAAGGUUGGGUAACACUAACUGGAGGACCGAACCGACUAAUGUUGAAAAAUUAGCGGAUGACUUGUGGCUGGGGGUGAAAGGCCAAUCAAACCGGGAGAUAGCUGGUUCUCCCCGAAAGCUAUUUAGGUAGCGCCUCGUGAAUUCAUCUCCGGGGGUAGAGCACUGUUUCGGCAAGGGGGUCAUCCCGACUUACCAACCCGAUGCAAACUGCGAAUACCGGAGAAUGUUAUCACGGGAGACACACGGCGGGUGCUAACGUCCGUCGUGAAGAGGGAAACAACCCAGACCGCCAGCUAAGGUCCCAAAGUCAUGGUUAAGUGGGAAACGAUGUGGGAAGGCCCAGACAGCCAGGAUGUUGGCUUAGAAGCAGCCAUCAUUUAAAGAAAGCGUAAUAGCUCACUGGUCGAGUCGGCCUGCGCGGAAGAUGUAACGGGGCUAAACCAUGCACCGAAGCUGCGGCAGCGACACUAUGUGUUGUUGGGUAGGGGAGCGUUCUGUAAGCCUGUGAAGGUGUACUGUGAGGUAUGCUGGAGGUAUCAGAAGUGCGAAUGCUGACAUAAGUAACGAUAAAGCGGGUGAAAAGCCCGCUCGCCGGAAGACCAAGGGUUCCUGUCCAACGUUAAUCGGGGCAGGGUGAGUCGACCCCUAAGGCGAGGCCGAAAGGCGUAGUCGAUGGGAAACAGGUUAAUAUUCCUGUACUUGGUGUUACUGCGAAGGGGGGACGGAGAAGGCUAUGUUGGCCGGGCGACGGUUGUCCCGGUUUAAGCGUGUAGGCUGGUUUUCCAGGCAAAUCCGGAAAAUCAAGGCUGAGGCGUGAUGACGAGGCACUACGGUGCUGAAGCAACAAAUGCCCUGCUUCCAGGAAAAGCCUCUAAGCAUCAGGUAACAUCAAAUCGUACCCCAAACCGACACAGGUGGUCAGGUAGAGAAUACCAAGGCGCUUGAGAGAACUCGGGUGAAGGAACUAGGCAAAAUGGUGCCGUAACUUCGGGAGAAGGCACGCUGAUAUGUAGGUGAAGUCCCUCGCGGAUGGAGCUGAAAUCAGUCGAAGAUACCAGCUGGCUGCAACUGUUUAUUAAAAACACAGCACUGUGCAAACACGAAAGUGGACGUAUACGGUGUGACGCCUGCCCGGUGCCGGAAGGUUAAUUGAUGGGGUCAGCGCAAGCGAAGCUCUUGAUCGAAGCCCCGGUAAACGGCGGCCGUAACUAUAACGGUCCUAAGGUAGCGAAAUUCCUUGUCGGGUAAGUUCCGACCUGCACGAAUGGCGUAAUGAUGGCCAGGCUGUCUCCACCCGAGACUCAGUGAAAUUGAACUCGCUGUGAAGAUGCAGUGUACCCGCGGCAAGACGGAAAGACCCCGUGAACCUUUACUAUAGCUUGACACUGAACAUUGAGCCUUGAUGUGUAGGAUAGGUGGGAGGCUUUGAAGUGUGGACGCCAGUCUGCAUGGAGCCGACCUUGAAAUACCACCCUUUAAUGUUUGAUGUUCUAACGUUGACCCGUAAUCCGGGUUGCGGACAGUGUCUGGUGGGUAGUUUGACUGGGGCGGUCUCCUCCUAAAGAGUAACGGAGGAGCACGAAGGUUGGCUAAUCCUGGUCGGACAUCAGGAGGUUAGUGCAAUGGCAUAAGCCAGCUUGACUGCGAGCGUGACGGCGCGAGCAGGUGCGAAAGCAGGUCAUAGUGAUCCGGUGGUUCUGAAUGGAAGGGCCAUCGCUCAACGGAUAAAAGGUACUCCGGGGAUAACAGGCUGAUACCGCCCAAGAGUUCAUAUCGACGGCGGUGUUUGGCACCUCGAUGUCGGCUCAUCACAUCCUGGGGCUGAAGUAGGUCCCAAGGGUAUGGCUGUUCGCCAUUUAAAGUGGUACGCGAGCUGGGUUUAGAACGUCGUGAGACAGUUCGGUCCCUAUCUGCCGUGGGCGCUGGAGAACUGAGGGGGGCUGCUCCUAGUACGAGAGGACCGGAGUGGACGCAUCACUGGUGUUCGGGUUGUCAUGCCAAUGGCACUGCCCGGUAGCUAAAUGCGGAAGAGAUAAGUGCUGAAAGCAUCUAAGCACGAAACUUGCCCCGAGAUGAGUUCUCCCUGACUCCUUGAGAGUCCUGAAGGAACGUUGAAGACGACGACGUUGAUAGGCCGGGUGUGUAAGCGCAGCGAUGCGUUGAGCUAACCGGUACUAAUGAACCGUGAGGCUUAACCUU
Molecule: ribosomal RNA, 2903 nt
Filed under: human gut metagenome
Description: bacterial LSU rRNA
Rfam family: Bacterial large subunit ribosomal RNA
Source: RNAcentral